This 253-nucleotide ribosomal RNA is filed under the name uncultured bacterium. RNAcentral's name for it is "partial 16S ribosomal RNA". It matches the Rfam family "Bacterial small subunit ribosomal RNA", at positions 524 to 776 of the family's 1533-position model. The record is from RNAcentral.
UACGUAGGGUGCAAGCGUUGUCCGGAAUUAUUGGGCGUAAAGAGCUCGUAGGCGGUUUGUCGCGUCUGCUGUGAAAACUCGGGGCUUAACCCCGGGCCUGCAGUGGGUACGGGCAGACUAGAGUGCGGUAGGGGAGACUGGAAUUCCUGGUGUAGCGGUGAAAUGCGCAGAUAUCAGGAGGAACACCAAUGGCGAAGGCAGCUCACUGGGACGGUACUGACGCUGAGACGCGAAAGCGUGGGGAGCAAACAGG